UCGCCUACGGGAGGCAGCAGUGAGGAAUUUUGCGCAAUGGGGGCAACCCUGACGCAGCAACGCCGCGUGAGUGAUGAAGGCCUUUGGGUCGUAAAACUCUGUCAGCAGGAAAGAAGUUAUAGAGGGUUAAUACCCCUUUAUAUUGACGGUACCUGCAAAGGAAGCACCGGCUAACUCCGUGCCAGCAGCCGCGGUAACACGGAGGGUGCAAGCGUUAUUCGGAAUUAUUGGGCGUAAAGGGCGCGUAGGCGGGCGAUCAGGUCAGAUGUGAAAGCCCGGGGCUUAACCCCGGAAGUGCAUUUGAAACCGGUUGGCUUGAGUAUGGGAGAGGAGAGCGGAAUUCCUGGUGUAGAGGUGAAAUUCGUAGAUAUCAGGAGGAACACCGGUGGCGAAGGCGGCUCUCUGGACCAAUACUGACGCUGAGGCGCGAAGGCGUGGGUAGCAAACAGGAUUAGAUACCCGGGUAGUC
This 469-nucleotide ribosomal RNA is filed under the name uncultured Desulfobacteraceae bacterium. Its description in RNAcentral is "bacterial SSU rRNA". It matches the Rfam family "Bacterial small subunit ribosomal RNA", at positions 335 to 795 of the family's 1533-position model. Lineage: Bacteria; Pseudomonadati; Thermodesulfobacteriota; Desulfobacteria; Desulfobacterales; Desulfobacteraceae. The record is from RNAcentral.